This 429-nucleotide ribosomal RNA is filed under the name Chloroflexota bacterium. RNAcentral's name for it is "Chloroflexi bacterium partial 16S ribosomal RNA". It matches the Rfam family "Bacterial small subunit ribosomal RNA", at positions 355 to 776 of the family's 1533-position model. The record is from RNAcentral. Lineage: Bacteria; Bacillati; Chloroflexota.
UGGGGAAUAUUGCACAAUGGGCGCAAGCCUGAUGCAGCCAUGCCGCGUGUAUGAAGAAGGCCUUCGGGUUGUAAAGUACUUUCAGUCGGGAGGAAGGUGGUAAGGUUAAUAACCUUAUCAAUUGACGUUACCGACAGAAGAAGCACCGGCUAACUCCGUGCCAGCAGCCGCGGUAAUACGGAGGGUGCAAGCGUUAAUCGGAAUUACUGGGCGUCAAGCGCACGCAGGCGGUUGAUUGAGUCAGAUGUGAAAUCCCCGGGCUUAACCCGGGACUUGCAUCUGAUACUGGUCAGCUAGAGUCUUGUAGAGGGGGGUAGGAUUCCAUGUGUAGCGGUGAAAUGCGUAGAGAUGUGGAGGAAUACCGGUGGCGAAGGCGGCCCCCUGGACAAAGACUGACGCUCAGGUGCGAAAGCGUGGGGAGCAAACAGG